This 273-nucleotide long non-coding RNA is filed under the name Dasypus novemcinctus (nine-banded armadillo). RNAcentral describes it as "lncRNA (ENSDNOG00000050299.1)". The record is from RNAcentral. Lineage: Eukaryota; Metazoa; Chordata; Mammalia; Cingulata; Dasypodidae.
AAAAACAUAGACCUGAAUGGCAUCAUCUAGUAUCCAAGGAAACCAUUCUGAUCUUUUGCAGAAACUCACCCCUCUUCUCAAAGUCAGGAAAACCUCUUCGGAGUUGUCAUUGGACUAAGGAGCAUGUCCUGACUCCAGAUCAAUGUGUUACUGGAAUAUUUACUGGGAAGAACUCAUUCUUAGCAUUUCUAUUUGACCUGAGUCUCCCUGAAAUAGGAUCACAAGGUAUGUGUAUAGAUAGCUUUGAUCUGUGUCCUUGACCUUGAUCAGCGU